CCUGGCCUUGACAUACUAAGAACUUUCCAGAGAUGGAAUUUGGUGCCUUCGGGAACUUAGAUACAGGUGCUGCAUGGCUGUCGUCAGCUCGUGUCGUGAGAUGUUGGGUUAACGUCCGCAACGAGCGCAACCCUUUUCCUUAUUUGCCAGCGGGUAAUGCCGGGAACUUUAAGGAUACUGCCAGUGACAAACUGGAGGAAGGCGGGGACGACGUCAAGUCAUCAUGGCCCUUACGGCCAGGGCUACACACGUGCUACAAUGGUCGGUACAAAGGGUUGCUACCUCGCGAGAGGAUGCUAAUCUCAAAAAGCCGAUCGUAGUCCGGAUCGCAGUCUGCAACUCGACUGCGUGAAGUCGGAAUCGCUAGUAAUCGCGGAUCAGAAUGCCGCGGUGAAUACGUUCCCGGGCCUUGUACACACCGCCCGUCACACCAUGGGAGUUUGUUGCACCAGAAGUAGGUAGUCUAACCGCAAGGAGGACGCUUACCACGGUGUGGCCGAUGACUGGGGUGAAGUCGUAACAAGGUAAGCGUAGAUGA
Molecule: ribosomal RNA, 538 nt
Filed under: uncultured bacterium
Lineage: Bacteria
Description: bacterial SSU rRNA
Rfam family: Bacterial small subunit ribosomal RNA
Source: RNAcentral